CAUCGCCUCUUGUUAAACCGAAUGUAUAAGAGGUGCCACCUGCCCUGUGACUAUAUGUUUAACGGCCGCGGUAUUUUGACCGUGCGAAGGUAGCGCAAUCACUUGUCUUUUAAAUGGGGACCUGUAUGAAUGGCAUAACGAGGGCUUAACUGUCUCCUCUUUCAAGUCAAUGAAAUUGAUCUCCCCGUGCAGAAGCGGGGAUUACUUCAUAAGACGAGAAGACCCUAUGAAGCUUUAGACACUAAAGCAGAUCAUAUUUUUUUAAAACCCUCAACAACAGGGGCUAUAAAUUACCGAAUACUGCCCUAAUGUCUUAGGUUGGGGCGACCGUGGAGAAAUAAAAACCCUCCAUAAGGACCGAAUGUACUACAUUCACAACCGAGAGCGACAGCUCUAAGUAACAGAAUUUCUGACCGAUAUAGAUCCGGCAAUGCCGAUUAAUGAACCAAGUUACUCUAGGGAUAACAGCGCAAUCUCCUCUUAGAGUCCAUAUCGACGAGGAGGUUUACGACCUCGAUGUUGGAUCAGGGCAUCCUAAUGGUGUAGCCGCUAUUAAGGGUUCGUUUGUUCAACGAUUAAAGCCCUACGUGAUCUG
RNAcentral lists this ribosomal RNA (595 nucleotides) under Alphestes immaculatus (Pacific mutton hamlet). RNAcentral's name for it is "partial 16S ribosomal RNA". It matches the Rfam family "Bacterial large subunit ribosomal RNA", at positions 1814 to 2607 of the family's 2925-position model. The record is from RNAcentral. Lineage: Eukaryota; Metazoa; Chordata; Actinopteri; Perciformes; Serranidae.